CUUCCAACACACAGGGCGUGGCUGGGAGCCGGCCACCUCCCCGGCCAGCACACAGGCCUCGGCAGAGCCCGAAGGGAUCCCCGGGAUGGUUCCCUGAGCGCCCGUGGUCAGGCACCAAGUCCAUGGUGAAGAUGGAGGUAGCACAACUGCAUUCAUGAGACGUGUUUCCCAAAAAGUGAUUCUGUAGAACAGUCACCCUAGAACAGCUCAGACUUCCACGACGGGUCUGCCGGGAGCCCCCCUGUCCCACACCAAGUCACAGCCACUGCUGACGGGAGGGAACGUCCCUUUGCACCUCGGACGCACCACGUCCGACAGACAGUAACCAGCAGACACUCGUUUCCCCACUGUGUGAAACAAGAUGGUGCCUCGGCUGGUUCUGCUUUGAAAGUCUCACGUUCAGAUUUUAAAUAGACUUUCCUUCAAAACAACAGACAAAUGUAAAAGCAAUACCCAUGUGUGGACAAAAUUUCCCAAGAUGGAAGACAGAGGUCAGACAAAAAAA
This is a non-coding RNA of Vicugna pacos (alpaca), 505 nucleotides long. Lineage: Eukaryota; Metazoa; Chordata; Mammalia; Artiodactyla; Camelidae. The record is from RefSeq and is a predicted model, not a curated record.